CAACCUGUACGAUCUAAAAAUAACGAAAAUGUAUUUUCCAAUCGAUUUUCUAAACCCUCUCCCGUGUUGGCCAGAUACUUUCGGGACCACCCUCGUAAACUGCAAUUGAUAACAAAAAGACGAACCACAAUUUUGUUUCUUAUUUUUGUAUACUUUCCAUUUUAAUUUUACAGUAUUUGUUGCAAUAUUAAAUUAAAAUAUCAAAAUUAUACGUUAAUUUUAUUGGUGUGUGUAUUAUUAAUAUUUUCAUGGUCUGCGCCUCCUAUAGAAUUUAACUCAACACCAGUAGCAACAUCAUAAAAGAUGACUAAACAUUGUAGCGACGUUGCCAUAUAUAGCGUAUUCCUAAAUCACUGAUAUAUAAUAGUAAAAAUACAAAAGUACAAACAUAUAUUUCCCUAUACACUUAUUACAUAAUAUAUUAUUAAAUUUUAUGUUAUCACUGUAUUAUAUUUUAAAAUGUAUUAAGAAAAAGAAUAAAAACUUGUCGAUCGUAUUUAUUUAUCCGUAGCACUGGCAACGCUGUAUUGUUCUUUAAACUAGACUUGUCCAUGCAUCUUUUUCUCGCGAAUGAGAUAAAAAGAAACAAUAUAUUUUGUAUACUGACAUCGAAAGAUUUCAAGAUUAUUGUUUAUAGAACAAGUUUAAAAUUAUAUGUAGUUUUAUCAAUAAUUUACUUUUUAUUAUUUCAAAAGUAUGAAACUAAAAAAUGGAUUAAUAUUUUUGAAAAUUAAUAUAGGCGAGAGAUAUUGUCAUAAUAUAAUCAGCGAAAAUGUGUUUUUCAAUCGAUUAACCCCACUCUUUAUUGUAUAGAUCAACAAAAUGAAUUCUAGACUAUAAUUGCUACCAAAUAAAUUUUUUCAUGGUCCAACAUUUUUUUGAUCUUCAACAAUGAUUUUCAGUCUAAUUUUUUGAGCCCAAAACGUCAAAAUUUUGAAAUUAUUUUGAUUUUGACACUACAUAAAUUUUGAAAUAGACAAAUAAAAACAAAAUAUUUAUGAUUCGAUUUGGCUUCAUUAUUUUUAAAAUAGUUUCCAUUGAGAUCUAUACACUUUUGUAUACGUUUAAAACAAUUUGGCUCGUCAUAGAAAAUCAUCGAACGAAAAUGUUUCCGAUUUGAUUCCAAUUGUUCACGAAAAUGAAUGUCUCGAGUAAACAAUUCAAAUAACACUCGUACUAAGUACGUAUUAAAAAUGUCAAACUUUAUUAUGGCAGUGUCAGAUUUGACAUUUUGCAAGAUUGAUCGACAAAUUAAUUUCGUAUAUAUUUCAAGAAUAACAGCGACCUCUAUUCUUGCAGAACUGUAUUAACUUGAAAUUAUCAUGUCUAUAGCUUCUGAACUUUCCCGUUUAUUAAUAUGACAGAUGACAGAUGACCAUAGAAUAAUGAAUUUAAUCUUUUUAAAACUUAUAACGAAAAAAACGAAAUAGUUCUACUAUUAAUAAUUAAAUAAACUCUGUAUGUGAUGUAAGAGAUUCUCAGUUUUGAAAACCUGAAUAUAUUUCACAGUCAAAGUUGGUUAAUUUAAAAUCAACUUGUAUCGCCUACCGAAUUAGCACAAAUAAAAAAAUUAAACUCUUCUGGCAACUAAAAAAGUUCGUUACAAUCUUCAGAAGCAACAAAAAGAGAAGAUGGAACAAAUUUCCAUCUCAAAUCGAAAAAUUUAAUGCAAAGACGACAAAGGAUAUAAAACGAAAACUAAAACGACCUUAUAAAGUGAAAUGGACGGUGUUUAAAUGAAACUAAGUGUAUAGGGUCUUAAAGGCGAGUUUCGAUAUUCAUGAUAACGUCAGUAGUUUUGUACAGAUUUUAUAGUGCAGUUAUUUUAAGAAGUUUUUAUUGUUGAAGUUUAUAAAUAUAAUAUUUCAAAAAUGUAAUUUGGAAUAAAUAGAUUCACUUAUAUUAGUAAAAGAAUGUAUGAUAAAGAAAUUUCGAUAAAAUCGGAAUAUUUAUAUUGUAGAAACACUUUUAAAACAAAAUGUCUACCAACGCGAUAACCAAUGAAAAUUUGACACUAUUUUUACAAUAACAAUUUUUAGUGAGGAAAAAGUUUAUACAAGUGAUAAGGAUAUUAUACAGGGUAAAAAAAUGUAGAAUGUAGAACAUUCCGAUUUGAUUUAAAAUUUGAAAACUCCAAGGAAAAUAUUUCAAUAUUUAGACAAACAUUUAAGCGGGAAAUUUAAUUUUACGAUUGACACAGCGUUGCCAACUAUUUAAAAAUUUAGUUAUUUUAUAUUUCAAGUGAUACAGUAUAAAGUAAUAAUAUUCUGAUUUGAGAAAACAUUUUUUGCGAUGAUAUAUAUACAGUAUGUCCCGUCUAAAACCUAACAUAGAACAGAUGCGUAUAGGGAAGCUUAAAAUAUGUCGAUUGGGAAAUUUUGGGCCCCAAUUUGAGUACCUUCAAUUCCUCAGUGUUGCAACUUGGUUUAGACGUAAAUCGAUUCUUAUUAUCAUAUCUUUGAUUAUAUGCUUCUGUUUUGUAUCGGUUAUUAAUAAUACAAAUGUAUUUAUGUUGAUAAAUGUUUAUAUAAUUUCGAAAAUUUGUCUGUACUAUAACUGGUGAACGUGACGGAAAAGGACGGGGCUAUAUCUUUGGCUUGGGCUAAGCGUACGCCUUUUCAGUCGCGUGUAUAACGCGCGCUAAAAAUCGUACAUGCGCGGAUCGAAUAUCAGAUACGAGUCGCUUAUAUAAACUACGAGCUGUACCAUUUGGGCACAUUCACCCUUCGAACUUAACUUAAAGUUAGUCGUACUGUGAGUUUUCGGUACGUCGUGAAUAUAUUACGUCGUAAUUUGACAAUCAGCUGAUUUCUGUUUUGGAAAAAUGUGUCUCUGCAACAAGUUAAUCGAGAUGAAUAAAAUUAAAUCGCCUUAUAGACGACAACAACGAGAGCUUCUGAAACCUAAGCUUUCACGAAAAAUAGUUCCUAGCGCUAGAGUCAAUUUGAAUAACUUCUGGGAGAAAUUUGCGGAAAUUUCUGAGCAAAAUACGUCUCUGGUAACUUUUGAUUCCGGUUCAACUGCUGGAAUAAUACGGAGUAUUUCGUAUUCUACUUUUAACGAUAACGAAAUUAAUGAAAAUUUGGUUAACGAACUUUUAGAACUUGGAAAAUUGUAAGAUGUUUAAUUUUAGUAUAGUUUUAAAAGUAGGGUUAGGAUAAAUUUAGUUUGCAUGAGAAGUAAUCAAUGUCUUCCUGUUAGGUUAGAUUAAUAUUAUGGUUUUCUGAGCUAAUGAUCUUUUUUUUUAUAUAUAUAUAUAUAUAUAUUUUGGUUAAGCUGACUUUUUAAAAGUGCAAUUUCAAUACGUGCAAUAUUUAAAUAAAAAAAAUAUAUAUUGUGAUAUUAGUGUAGGUUAAAUCUGUGAUAUAUUUUUUUUAAAAUAGCUUACAACUGCUUGUUUAUUUUUUGUACAUUUUUUUUCGACACCUUUAACUUUUGCUCAAGCUUUAAACGAUGCUUUGAAAUUUUUAAAACUUGGCUUUAAUUAGUUUUAAAUAUUUUUAUCUGUGAUAAAUUCGGAGCUUUAAUUUUUUUUAGUUUAGUUAUGCUUUUUCGCUUCAACUUAAAAUAAUACGAUCGUCGUAUUGUUUUUUGUAAAGCAUAGGCCGAAAAGUGUCAAUUUUGAUGUAUAUAAGACUGAAAAGGGAAAUUUAAAUUUUAGUUUGCACAUAUUCUUUGAUCCUUAGCUUUAUAAAUAAAUAUAAUGCUCUGGCAGGCUAUGUGAUAGGAAUAUGAUAAACUUUUUGUACAUUUUUUCUGUGAUAUCAGCUUAACGAAUGAUUUCUUCCAUUACUGUUUUAUUGAUAACGAAAUUUAGUUGAUAAUUUUUUUCGUAUCUUAAUCUUUAAGUCUUUUUUCGUAGUUUUUCGAUAAUCUCUUCCACAGAUCUUUCAUUAGCUUUAAGAUUUUUCGUCUAGUAUAGUGUUUUGUAAUUAUACAUUAUCCAAAAUAAAAAUUUGUAGUUUCAA
Long non-coding RNA from Diorhabda carinulata, 3968 nucleotides. RefSeq lists it as uncharacterized. The transcript is spliced from 2 exons. The record is from RefSeq and is a predicted model, not a curated record. NCBI's taxonomy places the organism in Eukaryota, Metazoa, Arthropoda, Insecta, Coleoptera, Chrysomelidae.